CCUACGGGAGGCAGCAGUGGGGAAUAUUGGACAAUGGGGGAAACCCUGAUCCAGCAAUGCCGCGUGAGUGAUGAAGGCCUUAGGGUUGUAAAGCUCUUUUACCAGGGAUGAUAAUGACAGUACCUGGAGAAUAAGCACCGGCUAACUACGUGCCAGCAGCCGCGGUAAUACGUAGGGUGCAAGCGUUAAUCGGAAUUACUGGGCGUAAAGCGUACGCAGGCGGCUUUGCAAGACAGGUGUGAAAUCCCCGGGCCUAACCUGGGAACUGCAUUUGUGACUGCAUCGCUAGAGUCUGUCAGAGGGGGGUGGAAUUCCACGUGUAGCAGUGAAAUGCGUAGAGAUGUGGAAGAACACCGAUGGCGAAGGCAGCCCCCUGGGAUGAGACUGACGCUCAUGUACGAAAGCGUGGGGAGCAAACAGGAUUAGAUACCCUGGUAGUCCACGCCCUAAACGAUGUCUACUAGUUGUCGGGGGGUAACUCCUUCGGUAACGCAGCUAACGCUUUAAGCAUCCCGCCUGGGGAGUACGGUCGCAAGAUUAAAACUCAAAGGAAUUGACGG
RNAcentral lists this ribosomal RNA (560 nucleotides) under uncultured beta proteobacterium. Its description in RNAcentral is "bacterial SSU rRNA". It matches the Rfam family "Bacterial small subunit ribosomal RNA", at positions 338 to 916 of the family's 1533-position model. Lineage: Bacteria; Pseudomonadati; Pseudomonadota; Betaproteobacteria. The record is from RNAcentral.